UCACCUGUAGCUCAGUUGGUAGAGCAUGGAGCUUGCAAUGGUAGGGUUGUGGGUUCGAUUCCCACGGGGGAU
RNAcentral lists this transfer RNA (72 nucleotides) under Salmo salar (Atlantic salmon). It matches the Rfam family "tRNA". From Rfam's summary of the family: Transfer RNA (tRNA) molecules are approximately 80 nucleotides in length. Lineage: Eukaryota; Metazoa; Chordata; Actinopteri; Salmoniformes; Salmonidae. The record is from Rfam by way of RNAcentral.